UGGUGGAGUGAUUCGUCUGGUUAAUUCCGUUAACGAACGAGACCUCGGCCUGCUAAAUAGUUCGGUAUACUUUCGGGUAUAUACGUGACUUCUUAGAGGGACUGUCGGUUAUUAGCCGAAGGAAGUUCGAGGCAAUAACA
RNAcentral lists this ribosomal RNA (140 nucleotides) under uncultured eukaryote. RNAcentral describes it as "partial 18S ribosomal RNA". It matches the Rfam family "Eukaryotic small subunit ribosomal RNA", at positions 1299 to 1458 of the family's 1831-position model. The record is from RNAcentral.